GAAGAAAAGGGUAGGAGGAAUACACAGCAUUAGAUUAGAGUGGAAAUACCCGGGAGACACAAGAUGAUGAAUGGGACGGCCGUAGGCCCAGACAGAUAAGAAAGCGAGAAGAGUGAGAGGAAUCAAACAGAAUUAGGUUAUCCCAAUAGUUGCUCGUCCUAACCCUAUGUGCGCGGGAAUGUAGGGUACCUUAGUCCAUUCAGUAUCGUAGCUAACGCGAUAAGCGCACCGCCUGGGGGAGUGCGGCCGCAAGGUUGAAACUCAAAGGAAUUGACGGGGGCCCGCACAAGCGGUGGAGCAUGUGGUUUAAUUAGAAGCAACGCGCAGAACCUUACCAGCCCUUGACAUGGUCACGACCGGCGCAGAGAUGCGCUUUUCCCGCAAGGGACGUGAUGCACAGGUGCUGCAUGGCUGUCGUCAGCUCGUGUCGUGAGAUGUUGGGUUAAGUCCCGCAACGAGCGCAACCCUCGCCUUUAGUUGCCAGCACGUUUGGGUGGGCACUCUAAAGGAACUGCCGGUGACAAGCCGGAGGAAGGUGGGGAUGACGUCAAGUCCUCAUGGCCCUUAUGGGCUGGGCUACACACGUGCUACAAUGGCGGUGACAAUGGGAAGCCAGGCAGCGAUGUCGAGCCGAUCCCAAAAAGCCGUCUCAGUUCAGAUCGCAGCCUGCAACUCGGCUGCGUGAAGGUGGAAUCGCUAGUAAUCGCGGAUCAGCACGCCGCGGUGAAUACGUUCCCGGGCCUUGUACACACCGCCCGUCACACCAUGGGAGUUGGUUUUACCUUAAGCAGGUGCGCUAACCCGCAAGGGAGGUAUCUUAUCUACGGUACUAUAAAGUCGGU
This 842-nucleotide ribosomal RNA is filed under the name uncultured bacterium. RNAcentral's name for it is "bacterial SSU rRNA". It matches the Rfam family "Bacterial small subunit ribosomal RNA". The record is from RNAcentral.